UUCCCACAUGAUGAACACCACAUAUACUUUUUUUUCUGGUACCUCUUGAUUGCAGAAGGGAUUCGGGCGCAAGCUCGUUUUCUUCGAUGAUCUCAAUGGACUUCUGAUU
RNAcentral lists this small nucleolar RNA (109 nucleotides) under Exophiala mesophila. Its description in RNAcentral is "A. fumigatus snoRNA Afu_264". It matches the Rfam family "A. fumigatus snoRNA Afu_264". Lineage: Eukaryota; Fungi; Ascomycota; Eurotiomycetes; Chaetothyriales; Herpotrichiellaceae. The record is from Rfam by way of RNAcentral.